GUUUCCUAUGCUACGCCGACGGCGUUGGCCGCUCGUUCUGGCCCGACAGUGUUGCCCAUCUCGCAAGAGACGGUGUCUUGUUGUCGGUCGUUGGUUCGUGGUGGCUAGCGUUUAGUUACGCUAGUGUGUGUGACGUCGGUGUGAAAGUCGACGACGUUUCCGACCCGUCUUGAAACACGGAUUACGGAGUGUUUGUCUGCUGCGAGUCAAAGGGUGUAAAAACCUUGCGGCGCAAUGAAAGUGAAGGUUAGUCUCGAACUGACCGACGUGGGAUCCGUGCUCUUCGGAGUGCGGCGCACCACGGCCCUAUGCGUGUCACUUGUGACUGUGUAGAGGUUGAGCAGUAGGCAAGCGACCCGAAAGAUGGUGAACUAUGCCUGAGCAGGAUGAAGCCAGAGGAAACUCUGGUGGAAGUCCGUAUCGGUUCUGACGUGCAAAUCGAUCGAUAGACUUGGGUAUAGGGGCGAAAGACUAAUCGAACCAUCUAGUAGCUGGUUCCUUCCGAAGUUUCCCUCAGGAUAGCUGGAACUCUUGCAGUUAUAUUCGGUAAAGCUAAUGAUUAGAGGCCUUGGGGACGUAAUGUCCUCAACCUAUUCUCAAACUUUCAAUGGAUAUGGCGUCGCAGUUUCUUUAGUGAACUGCGGCGUGAAUGCGAGUUCCAAGUGGGCCAUUUUUGGUAAGCAGAACUGGCGCUGUGGGAUGAACCAAACGUGGAGUUAAGGUGCCUAACUUCUCGCUUAUGAGACCCCAUAAAAGGUGUUGGUUGAUAUUGACAGCAGGACGGUGGCCAUGGAAGUCGGUACCCGCUAAGGAGUGUGUAACAACUCACCUGCCGAAUCAACUAGCCCUGAAAAUGGAUGGCGCUUAAGCGAGAGACCUAUACUCCGCCGUCGCGGCAUGUGCGUUGUCUAGCGCCAGGUCGCGACGAGUAGGAAGGACGUGGCGGUUGCGUUGAAGGCUAUGAGCGUAGGCUCGGCUGGAGCUUCCGUCAGUGCAGAUCGUAAUGGUAGUAGCAAAUAUUCAAGUUCGAUCCUUGAAGACUGAAGUGGAGAAGGGUUCCACGUGAACAGUAGUUGGAUGUGGGUCAGUCGAUCCUAAGGUACUGGCGAAAGCCUUGUAUCAUCGGUGGCGAAAAGCUUGCUUUUUGUCCCCGCCCGUCGAAAGGGAAUAGGGUUAAUAUUCCCUAACUGAGAUGCAAAGAUUGUGUUCUUCGGAGCACAAGCGCGGUAACGC
This 1233-nucleotide non-coding RNA is filed under the name Caenorhabditis japonica. Its description in RNAcentral is "Eukaryotic large subunit ribosomal RNA". It matches the Rfam family "Eukaryotic large subunit ribosomal RNA", at positions 486 to 1668 of the family's 3401-position model. The record is from Rfam by way of RNAcentral. Lineage: Eukaryota; Metazoa; Nematoda; Chromadorea; Rhabditida; Rhabditidae.